AUGCUCUAUGAAAUCCACUCCCAUGCCCAAAUCCAAGACCUGCAGGCCCGCUCCGAUGAGCUGGGCCACUCCAAUGAGCACAUGGAUGUGAAGCUUGUCUCUCUGGAGUCGGUGCGCAUAGCGCGCGAGUCGUAUGCACUCCUCUGGCCGCUGACCAAGGAGCCGAUGUCCUGGGCAUGCCUGGAGCUGGAUUCCCUCUCGGUCGUGGCAACCUUGUCGCUGGAAAUCCAAAAGCUCGAGCAUGAUGUGUUACCCCAGCUCAUGGUUCAGGAGUCCAAGCUGGAACGGGGCGCCCUGGAAGCCCUCCUAGUCAUGCAGAACUCAGCAAUUAAGCUCUUACAUCUGGCGAAGUGCUUUAAGGAAUCCUUGGGCAUAUUGCAGGAUCUGGUCUCAUGCCGAGCCGAAGAUGUGAGCAUAAUGUUAAAUGAUAUUGUUCUUCAUGUACUCCGAGGUAACAUUUCCUGGCUUCAGGCGCGUCUCCCGGUGCUGGCCGGGCUGGUCACCAUUAUGUUGGAGACCCCGGUUCGUUUCUGUGAUUCUGAUGAGUAG
This 549-nucleotide ribosomal RNA is filed under the name Triticum aestivum (bread wheat). RNAcentral describes it as "partial small subunit ribosomal RNA". The record is from RNAcentral. Lineage: Eukaryota; Viridiplantae; Streptophyta; Magnoliopsida; Poales; Poaceae.